This 499-nucleotide ribosomal RNA is filed under the name uncultured bacterium. RNAcentral describes it as "bacterial SSU rRNA". It matches the Rfam family "Bacterial small subunit ribosomal RNA", at positions 8 to 525 of the family's 1533-position model. The record is from RNAcentral.
AGAGUUCGAUUCUGGCUCAGGACGAACGCUGGCGGCGUGCUUAAUACAUGCAAGUCGAACGCUCUCGACCUUCGGGUCACUGAGAGAGUGGCGAACGGGUGCGUAACACGUGAGAAACCUACCCCGAAGACGGGAAUAGCCCGAGGAAACUCGGAUUAAUACCCGAUAUCUCCACACUGUCGCAUGGCAGAGUGAAGAAAGUUCAGGCGCUUCGGGAGGGUCUCGCGGCCUAUCAGCUUGUUGGUGAGGUAACGGCUCACCAAGGCAUCGACGGGUAGCUGGUCUGAGAGGAUGAUCAGCCACACUGGGACUGAGACACGGCCCAGACUCCUACGGGAGGCAGCAGUAGGGAAUCUUGCGCAAUGGGCGAAAGCCUGACGCAGCAACGCCGCGUGGGGGAUGAAUGCCUUCGGGUUGUAAACCCCUUUCAGCAGGGACGAAAAUGACGGUACCUCCACAAGAAGCCCCGGCCAACUACGUGCCAGCAGCCGCGGUAAUA